RNAcentral lists this ribosomal RNA (530 nucleotides) under uncultured bacterium. Its description in RNAcentral is "bacterial SSU rRNA". It matches the Rfam family "Bacterial small subunit ribosomal RNA", at positions 58 to 604 of the family's 1533-position model. The record is from RNAcentral.
CAAGUCGAACGAGAAAGUGGAGCAAUCCAUGAGUAAAGUGGCGACCGGGUGAGUAACACGUGACCAAUCUACCCUCGAGUGGGGGAUAACUCCGGGAAACCGGGGAUAAUACCGCAUAACAUCUUCGGAACGGAAGUUCUGUUGAUCAAAGGAGCAAUUCGCUUGAGGAGGAGGUCGCGGCUGAUUAGCUAGUUGGCGGGGUAAUGGCCCACCAAGGCGAAGAUCGGUAUCCGGCCUGAGAGGGCGCACGGACACACUGGAACUGAAACACGGUCCAGACUCCUACGGGAGGCAGCAGUGGGGAAUUUUGCGCAAUGGGGGAAACCCUGACGCAGCAACGCCGCGUGGAGGAUGAAGUCCCUUGGGACGUAAACUCCUUUCGACCGGGACGAUUAUGACGGUACCGGUGGAAGAAGCCCCGGCUAACUUCGUGCCAGCAGCCGCGGUAAUACGAGGGGGGCAAGCGUUGUUCGGAAUUAUUGGGCGUAAAGGGCGCGUANGCGGUGCGGUAAGUCACCUGUGGAAUCUCU